AGUUCCCUGGAAAGGGGCG
This 19-nucleotide small nuclear RNA is filed under the name Arabidopsis thaliana (thale cress). RNAcentral's name for it is "snRNA_01146". The record is from RNAcentral. Lineage: Eukaryota; Viridiplantae; Streptophyta; Magnoliopsida; Brassicales; Brassicaceae.